CUCAAGAGAAGAGGCAGGACUCUGGUCUGUAGAAGUUUCCAUAGAGCACCAUCCUUGACAUUAAACAGCCACAGAGAUGAAGAACCAAAAGGAAAACUACUCAGAACCGAGUCUGGUUAAGGACAGCAGGAGACAGCAAAUGAGAGCUCGAGAGAAGCUCAUUAUUGUGAUCCUGGGAAUCAUCUGUUUUGUCUUGAUGUAUACUAUAGUGAGAGUGACAACUUUUAUUC
Long non-coding RNA from Dama dama (fallow deer), 230 nucleotides. RefSeq lists it as uncharacterized. The transcript has 3 exons. The record is from RefSeq and is a predicted model, not a curated record. Lineage: Eukaryota; Metazoa; Chordata; Mammalia; Artiodactyla; Cervidae.